This 371-nucleotide ribosomal RNA is filed under the name uncultured organism. RNAcentral describes it as "bacterial SSU rRNA". It matches the Rfam family "Bacterial small subunit ribosomal RNA", at positions 526 to 896 of the family's 1533-position model. The record is from RNAcentral.
CGUAGGGUGCGAGCGUUAAUCGGAAUUACUGGGCGUAAAGCGUGCGCAGGCGGUUUUGUAAGACAGAUGUGAAAUCCCCGGGCUCAACCUGGGACCUGCAUUUGUGACUGCAAGGCUAGAGUACGGUAGAGGGGGAUGGAAUUCCGCGUGUAGCAGUGAAAUGCGUAGAUAUGCGGUGGAACACCGAUGGCGAAGGCAAUCCCCCUGGACCUGUACUGACGCUCAUGCACGAAAGCGUGGGGAGCAAACAGGAUUAGAUACCCUGGUAGUCCACGCCCUAAACGAUGUCAACUGGUUGUUGGGUCUUUACUGACUCAGUAACGAAGCUAACGCGUGAAGUUGACCGCCUGGGGAGUACGGCCGCAAGGUUG